RNAcentral lists this transfer RNA (66 nucleotides) under Barbourion lemaii. RNAcentral's name for it is "tRNA-Glu". The record is from RNAcentral. Lineage: Eukaryota; Metazoa; Arthropoda; Insecta; Lepidoptera; Sphingidae.
AUUUAUAUAGUUUAAAUAAAACAUUACAUUUUCAUUGUAAAAAUAAAAUAAAUUUUUUUAUAAAUA